Molecule: long non-coding RNA, 598 nt
Organism: Benincasa hispida (wax gourd)
Lineage: Eukaryota; Viridiplantae; Streptophyta; Magnoliopsida; Cucurbitales; Cucurbitaceae
Source: RefSeq, a predicted model, not a curated record
UCCUCCCUCCACCCCCCCUCCCAAUUUUCUUUUUCCUUUCAUUCACUCACAACCCACGCGAAACCCUUCCAAAAUGCAAACCAUCCGAUUUGUCUUCUUCUUCUUCUUCGUCUCUCUGUUUUUUCAAUUCGAGAAAAAGGAAAUUGGGUGGAUCCACUUUUCUCUUUCCUCUUCCUAAAGGAAGUCAUGCCUUUGAUUUUGAUCAAAUCUGUGGUGGAUGGUGGAGAGAACAUAACGAAGGAGCAAUUGAAAGACAAUUUGAAAAAUACUAUAUAAUGGCAACAAGUGUGUGUGCACUUUUCUUUUGUUUUGUUUUGUUUUUUUUUUUUUGGGGGGGGGGGGGGGGGGGGGGGGGAGGGGUGGAAUUUGCAAGUUUUGGUUUGUAUUUUAUAGUUUAAAAGUAAGUUCUCACUCUUUUUGAUAUACCAAUAAAAGUUGUUUGGGUCUAACAAAAUUUUAAUUUUGCUAUGUAACCCUUAUGAGUUUUGGUAAUUUGUUGAUUACCUUGGUUUUAGAGUUAAAUUAUCAUCCAAUUCCUCUUUUGUGACUUAUUAUUAUGGAUUUGUGAAAGCAAUUAAGAAUUUAUUUUGUGCAUGGA